CCCUUUUCAGAUAGAGGCUUAGAUGUGCUCAACAUGGAGCAGGUUAGAACAGCAGCGAAUAUAAACAGUUGGGAAAACGUGAGACUGGUUUCACAAAG
Molecule: non-coding RNA, 98 nt
Filed under: uncultured eukaryote
Lineage: Eukaryota
Source: RNAcentral